RNAcentral lists this ribosomal RNA (256 nucleotides) under uncultured bacterium. Its description in RNAcentral is "partial 16S ribosomal RNA". It matches the Rfam family "Bacterial small subunit ribosomal RNA", at positions 524 to 776 of the family's 1533-position model. The record is from RNAcentral.
UACGUAGGGUGCGAGCGUUGUCCGGAAUUAUUGGGCGUAAAGAGCUCGUAGGCGGUGUGUCGCGUCGGCCGUGAAAACCUGCAGCUUAACUGUGGGCUUGCGGUCGAUACGGGCAUCACUGGAGUUCGGCAGGGGAGACUGGAAUUCCUGGUGUAGCGGUGAAAUGCGCAGGAUAAUCAGGAGGAACACCGGUGGCGAAGGCGGGUCUCUGGGCCGAUACUGACGCUGAGGAGCGAAAGCAUGGGGAGCGAACAGG